RNAcentral lists this ribosomal RNA (580 nucleotides) under uncultured bacterium. RNAcentral's name for it is "partial 16S ribosomal RNA". It matches the Rfam family "Bacterial small subunit ribosomal RNA", at positions 355 to 932 of the family's 1533-position model. The record is from RNAcentral.
UGGGGAAUUUUGGACAAUGGGGGCAACCCUGAUCCAGCAAUGCCGCGUGUGUGAAGAAGGCCUUCGGGUUGUAAAGCACUUUUGUCCGGGAAGAAAUCCCCUGCCCUAAUACGGCGGGGGGAUGACGGUACCGGAAGAAUAAGCACCGGCUAACUACGUGCCAGCAGCCGCGGUAAUACGUAGGGUGCGAGCGUUAAUCGGAAUUACUGGGCGUAAAGCGUGCGCAGGCGGUGAUGUAAGACCGAUGUGAAAUCCCCGGGCUCAACCUGGGAACUGCAUUGGUGACUGCAUUGCUCGAGUAUGGCAGAGGGGGGUGGAAUUCCACGUGUAGCAGUGAAAUGCGUAGAGAUGUGGAGGAACACCGAUGGCGAAGGCAGCCCCCUGGGCCAAUACUGACGCUCAUGCACGAAAGCGUGGGGAGCAAACAGGAUUAGAUACCCUGGUAGUCCACGCCCUAAAACGAUGUCAACUGGUUGUCGGGCCUUCAUUGGCUUGGUAACGUAGCUAACGCGUGAAGUUGACCGCCUGGGGAGUACGGUCGCAAGAUUAAAACUCAAAGGAAUUGACGGGGUCAUAGCUG